UGCUCACUUCAGCAGCAAUAUACUAAAGUUGAAAUUAUACAGAGAAGAUUAGUGUGGCCCCUGCACUACUGGAAUGACAUGCAAAUUUGUAAAAAGCACCCCAUAUUU
Molecule: small nuclear RNA, 108 nt
Organism: Mustela putorius furo (domestic ferret)
Lineage: Eukaryota; Metazoa; Chordata; Mammalia; Carnivora; Mustelidae
Source: Ensembl